GACGAACGCUGGCGGCGUGCUUAACACAUGCAAGUCGGACGGUUCGCACUGGAAGGUUCGCUGGAAGGUGCGGAUAGUGGCGGACGGGUGAGUAACGCGUGAGGACAUGGCACCAGGAGGGGGAUAACGUUUGGAAACGGACGCUAAGACCCCGUAAGCCGGGAGGUGAAAGUGGCGGAAGCCAGCCUGGUGAGUGACUCGCGUCCUAUCAGCUAGUUGGGGGGGUACGGCCCACCAAGGCGAUGACGGGUAGCCGACCUGAGAGGGUGGCCGGCCACACUGGAACUGAGAUACGGUCCAGACUCCUACGGGAGCAGCAGUGGGGAAUAUUGGGCAAUGGGCGCAAGCCUGACCCAGCGACGCCGCGUGGGGGAAAAGUCUUUCGGGACGUAAACCCAUGUUGUACGGGACGAAGGAAGUGACGGUACCGUACGAGGAAGCCCGGCAAACUACGUG
RNAcentral lists this ribosomal RNA (456 nucleotides) under uncultured bacterium. Its description in RNAcentral is "bacterial SSU rRNA". It matches the Rfam family "Bacterial small subunit ribosomal RNA", at positions 28 to 507 of the family's 1533-position model. The record is from RNAcentral.